UAGGGAAUCUUCCGCAAUGGACGCAAGUCUGACGGAGCAACGCCGCGUGAGUGAAGAAGGAUUUCGGUUCGUAAAACUCUGUUGUUAGAGAAGAACAGCGCAUAGAGUAACUGUUAUGCGUGUGACGGUAUCUAACCAGAAAGCCACGGCUAACUACGUGCCAGCAGCCGCGGUAAUACGUAGGUGGCAAGCGUUGUCCGGAUUUAUUGGGCGUAAAGCGAGCGCAGGCGGUCAAUUAAGUCUGAUGUGAAAGCCCCCGGCUCAACCGGGGAGGGUCAUUGGAAACUGGUUGACUUGAGUGCAGAAGAGGAGAGUGGAAUUCCAUGUGUAACGGUGAAAUGCGUAGAUAUAUGGAGGAACACCAGUGGCGAAAGCGGCUCUCUGGUCUGUAACUGACGCUGAGGCUCGAAAGCGUGGGGAGCGAACAGG
Molecule: ribosomal RNA, 429 nt
Filed under: Bacteroidota bacterium
Lineage: Bacteria; Pseudomonadati; Bacteroidota
Description: Bacteroidetes bacterium partial 16S ribosomal RNA
Rfam family: Bacterial small subunit ribosomal RNA
Source: RNAcentral